CUUGAGAGAGGUCAGCGUGAGCCCCUUGCCUCACACCGGCCCCUCCCACGCUGAGAGAGGUCAGUGUGAGCCCUUGCCUCACACCGGCCCCUCCCACGCGGACAGAGGUCAGCGUGAGCCCCUUGCCUCACACCGGCCCCUCCCACGCUGAGAGAGGUCAGUGUGAGCCCUUGCCUCACCCCGGCCCCUCCCACGUGGACAGAGGUCAGCGUGAGCCCCUUGUCUCACACCGGCCCCUCCCACGCUGAGAGAGGUCAGUGUGAGCCCUUGCCUCACACCGGCCCCUCCCACGCGGACAGAGGUCAGCGUGAGCCCCUUGCCUCACACCGGCCCCUCCCACGCGGACAGAGGUCAGCCCGAGCUCCUUGCCUCACACCGGCCCCUCCCACGCUGAGAGAGGUCAGUGUGAGCCCUUGCCUCACACCGGCCCCUCCCACGCGGACAGAGGUCAGCGUGAGCCCCUUGCCUCACACCGGCCCCUCCCACGCUGAGAGAGGUCAGUGUGAGCCCUUGCCUCACACCGGCCCCUCCCACGCGGACAGAGGUCAGCGUGAGCCCCUUGCCUCACACCGGCCCCUCCCACGCUGAGAGAGGUCAGCCCGAGCCCCUUGCCUCACACCGGCCCCUCCCACGCUGAGAGAGGUCAGCCCGAGCCCCUUGCCUCACACCGGCCCCUCCCACGCUGAGAGAGGUGUGAGCCCCUUGUCUCACACCGGCCCCUCCCACGCGGACAGAGGUCAGCGUGAGCCCCUUGCCUCACACCGGCCCCUCCCACGCUGAGAGAGGUCAGUGUGAGCCCUUGCCUCACACCGGCCCCUCCCACGCGGACAGAGGUCAGCGUGAGCCCCUUGCCUCACACCGGCCCCUCCCACGCUGAGAGAGGUCGGUGUGAGCCCUUGCCUCACACCGGCCCCUCCCACGCGGACAGAGGUCAGCGUGAGCCCCUUGCCUCACCCCGGCCCCUCCCACGCUGAGAGAGGUCAGUGUGAGCCCUUGCCUCACACCGGCCCCUCCCACGCGGACAGAGGUCAGCGUGAGCCCCUUGCCUCACCCCGGCCCCUCCCACGCUGAGAGAGGUCAGUGUGAGCCCUUGCCUCACACCGGCCCCUCCCACGCGGACAGAGGUCAGCGU
Molecule: long non-coding RNA, 1132 nt
Filed under: Homo sapiens (human)
Lineage: Eukaryota; Metazoa; Chordata; Mammalia; Primates; Hominidae
Description: HSALNT0317677
Source: RNAcentral